AUGCUGCGCAACAUGGUGGCGCUGGAGCAGAACAGCCCGCAGUCCCACGUCAUGGCCUACUGCCUCUUCAUGUCGCAGCUGGCCAGCACCAAGGAAGACGUGGAGCUCCUCGUCGCCAAGGGGAUCAUCGUGCACCUGCUCCACAGCGCCGACGAUGUCGCGGCGAACCUGGCCGGGCUCUGCGACGGAGUUGUCCUCGACGCGUACGACCGGGACUUGUGCUACCUCAGGGCGGAGCAUGCGGCGCUCGAGGAGGUCUGCCGAGACGGCUGGAAGAAGUCCAAGGCGUGGCUGCGGCACACCAAGUGCAACAACUAUUUGAUGGGGCUGGCCGUCCUCGCGGGUGCCGGCCUCUUCUUUUGCACGGUGGAGCAAUCGGUCUUUGCUGCGCUAAGCUAUUUUCAAGAGAAAAAAUAA
This 417-nucleotide ribosomal RNA is filed under the name Triticum aestivum (bread wheat). RNAcentral's name for it is "partial small subunit ribosomal RNA". Lineage: Eukaryota; Viridiplantae; Streptophyta; Magnoliopsida; Poales; Poaceae. The record is from RNAcentral.